This 928-nucleotide ribosomal RNA is filed under the name Mitrula elegans. RNAcentral's name for it is "eukaryotic LSU rRNA". It matches the Rfam family "Eukaryotic large subunit ribosomal RNA", at positions 30 to 975 of the family's 3401-position model. The record is from RNAcentral. Lineage: Eukaryota; Fungi; Ascomycota; Leotiomycetes; Helotiales; Mitrulaceae.
GAACUAAGCAUAUCCAAUAAGCGGAGGAAAAGAACCCACCAGGGAUUACCUCAGUAACGGCGAGUGAAGCGGUAACAGCUCAAAUUUGAAAUCUGGCUCUUUCAGGGUCCGAAUUGUAAUUUGUAGAAGAUGCUUCGAGUGUAGCUCCGGUCUAAGUUCCUUGGAACAGGACGUCAUAGAGGGUGAGAAUCCCGUAUGUGACUGGUGGCUUUCGCUCAUGUGAAGCUCUUUCGACGAGUCGAGUUGUUUGGGAAUGCAGCUCAAAAUGGGUGGUAUAUUUCAUCUAAAGCUAAAUAUUGGCCAGAGACCGAUAGCGCACAAGUAGAGUGAUCGAAAGAUGAAAAGCACUUUGGAAAGAGAGUUAAACAGUACGUGAAAUUGUUGAAAGGGAAGCGCUUGCAACCAGACUUGCAUGCUGUUAAUCAUCAGGAGUUCUCUCCUGUGCACUUGGCAGUGUUCAGGCCAGCAUCGAUUUUGGUGGUUGGAUAAAGACCUUAGGAAUGUGGCAUCUUUCGGGGUGUGUUAUAGCCUUCGGUGCAAUGCAGCCAACUGGGAUCGAGGACCGCGCUUCGGCUAGGAUGCUGGCGUAAUGGUUGUAAGCGACCCGUCUUGAAACACGGACCAAGGAGUCUAACAUCUAUGCGAGUGUUUGGGUGUUAAACCCAUACGCGGAAUGAAAGUGAACGGAGGUAAGAACCCUUAAGGGUGCAUUAUCGACCGAUCCUGAUGUCUUCGGAUGGAUUUGAGUAAGAGCAUAGCUGUUGGGACCCGAAAGAUGGUGAACUAUGCGUGAAUAGGGUGAAGCCAGAGGAAACUCUGGUGGAGGCUCGCAGCGGUUCUGACGUGCAAAUCGAUCGUCAAAUUUGCGCAUAGGGGCGAAAGACUAAUCGAACUAUCUAGUAGCUGGUUCCUGCCGAAGUUUCCCUCA